RNAcentral lists this long non-coding RNA (2419 nucleotides) under Brachypodium distachyon (stiff brome). RNAcentral describes it as "long non-coding RNA (BDIS_LNC004366)". Lineage: Eukaryota; Viridiplantae; Streptophyta; Magnoliopsida; Poales; Poaceae. The record is from RNAcentral.
ACUAACAACCGGUGUAUUAUAAGUUGCUUAACUAACAUGUCUAGCAUAUUAGUAAGCUAACAUAGUUGCUUUUGAAUAAUUUAGUGGCUUCAGAUUUAACUUGUCAAUCUGACCUUACUACACAUUUUUUUUUAAUUGGUUGCUUGCCUAAACAUGCAAGAUCUUUUAUGUGUGGUUUUACUUUGUUGCCUUUUGUUUUGGAUUCAAUCCAGUGAGGCAUUUUCCCCAAUUAACUUGCUCACAUCUGACCUGCAGUUUGCUUUGUAAGUAAGUUUUUUUGCUUCUAUUAGUUGCUUAUGAAUUCUUCAAAAUUUACCUUGCCAAUAGCAAUCCCAUUUGAUGCACAAAAUUUUGGUUAAUUAGGUGUCCUAAAGUGCACGUGUUUACCUCUCCAUGUGUUUAUGUCUCUUUUACACAACAAUCCCAUUUUUUGCUCCCUGCGUAUGUGUUUAUGUCUCAUGCGUUUUUGCAGCGGACAUCAUGAAUUCAUUUGAGGAUAACGCAGCGCCUGAAGAAGGUAAAUUUGGAGAUUUAAUUCCUCGUCGUCAGCGUAGUAGACGGAAAUCACUUGAGGUUCAAAUUCCGGUGCUUGAUAAUGUGGGACAUAUUGCUCCAGGGGUUGACAACGUGAAGCGUGUAUGGUAACCUGGUUUCUAGUUUCUUUUUGCCCUAUAGUCUCACUUAGAGUUGCCUACAAUAUAUCUUUUUCCAUGAUAAAUUGAUAACGAUGAGAUUAAUAAGCUUACAUAGUUAAUUUUCGUCCUGUAGUUGCCUUUUUUCUUUCCAAAACCAACUAAGCUAAGACAGUUGGUUUUUCCAAUAGCAUGUAUAGUUGCUUGAUAUAGGUGCACAGCAGUCGAUAUAGUUGCUUUUUAAUCUUUUUCCACUGAUAUAUGUGCCCACAAUAUAGUUGCUUUGUUUUUUUUUCCUUGUAUAGGUUGUUUUGUUUACUGAUAUAGUUGCUUUUCCAAUAGCUAUAUAGUUGCUUGAUAGGGUUCAUACUAGGCGAUAUAGUUGCUUUUUUAUAAAAGCCCAUAAUAUAGGCGGGUUUUUUUUUGUCCUAUAGGGUAUUGUUUGCUUUGUUUACUGAUAUAGUUGUUUUUUUCUAAUAGCAUGUAUAGUUGCUUGAUACCGGUGCAUAGUAGUCGAUAUGGUUGCUUUUAAAUCUCCCCUGAUACAUGUGCAUGCCCACAAUACGGUUGAUUUUUUUGCCCUAUAUACUUUGCUUUUGUUUACUGGUAUACUUGCUUUUCCAAUAGCUAUAUAGUUGCUUGAUAUAGGGUUUCAUAUUAGGCGACAUAGUUGCUUUUUAAUUUUUUUUCCCUGAUUCAUGUGCCCACAAUAUAGGUGUUUUUUUCCCUAUAGGAUAUAGUUUGCUUUGUUUACUGAUAUAGAUGCUUUUUUCUAAUAGCAUGUAUAGUUGCUUGAUAUAGGUGCAUAGUAGUCGAUAUAGUUGCUUUUUAAUCUUCCCUUAUACAUGUGCCCACAAUAUAGUUGCUUUUUUUUGCCCUAUAUACUUUGCUUUUGUUUACUGAUAUGCUUGCUUUUCCAAUAGCUAUAUAUUUGCUUGAUAGAGGGGUUCAUAUUAGGCCAUAUAGUUGCUUUUUAAAAUUCCCUUGAUACUGAGUCCAUAAUAUUUGCUUUUUUUGUCCUACAUAGUUUGCUUUUGUUGCUGUUAUAGUUGAUUUUCUAACAUAGGUCUUGAGAAGCUAUAUAAUUGAUUGAUAUAGGUUCAUGGUAGUUGAUAUAGCUGCCCAGAACCUGAUUGUUUACUGAUUUUCUAUACCUUUCUUUUCUUUUUGCAACAUCAAGGUUGGAAGAAAUAGAGCAUCACCUGCUAGGUUCUUCAAAAUCAACCAAAAAAAAUUCGCCAGAUCAGGUGACAAUGAUCAAGGUGAAGCAAUUUAGAGGGUUAUUGAAUGUCAAGGUUCAAUCAAUGUCCAAAGAAUUUUAGCAAGUGGCUAAUGAGGUGUUACAACCCAGAAACAUCAGAACUUGUUAUAUCAGGGAGGGGUAGCAUCCCAGUUGAUGCAGAAAGUGUACAGAGGGUUUUUGAUUUGCCAAACAAGUGGAGGAAAGUCACUUAUGAGAUGAACCAGAAAGCAACACUUACUUUCCUUGCCAGUAGGGAUUGGAAAACAUGCACAAUUCUGUGUGUUUGUCCCCUAGGAGCAACUCGUGUUAAACUGACAUACUCCACAUUUGUUCUUGUGUUGCCUGAUUAAUUUAUUGCCUAGCUAUAGCAUGCCCACUUAAUUUCCUGGCCUGAUUUGAAUUCUGGUGUGUUCCAUGGAUUGGAGAACAUGCAAAAUUAUGUGUACCCUAGGAGCAACUUCUGUAAAACUGACCUAAGUCAUUGUGUCCUUGUGUUGCAUUGCCUCAUUAAUUUUCUUGCCAAGCUACAGCAUUGACGCUGAAU